UAAGCAUAUCAAUAAGCGGAGGAAAAGAAACCAACAGGGAUUGCCCCAGUAACGGCGAGUGAAGCGGCAGCAGCUCAAAUUUGAAAUCUGGCCCCCAGGGCCCGAGUUGUAAUUUGCAGAGGAUGCUUUCGGCGCGGCGCCUUCCGAGUUCCCUGGAACGGGACGCCACAGAGGGUGAGAGCCCCGUCUGGUCGGACGCCAAGCCGGUGUAAAGCUCCUUCGACGAGUCGAGUAGUUUGGGAAUGCUGCUCUAAACGGGAGGUAUAUGUCUUCUAAAGCUAAAUACCGGCCAGAGACCGAUAGCGCACAAGUAGAGUGAUCGAAAGAUGAAAAGCACUUUGGAAAGAGGGUUAAACAGUACGUGAAAUUGUUGAAAGGGAAGCGCUCGUGACCAGACUUGGGCGCGGUGGAUCACCCAGCGUUCUCGCUGGUGCACUCCGCCGGGCCCAGGCCAGCAUCAGCUCGCCGCGGGGGACAAAGGCCGCGGGAACGUGGCUCCCCAGGGAGUGUUAUAGCCCGUUGCGCAAUGCCCCGCGGCGGACUGAGGUUCGCGCUCCGCAAGGAUGCUGGCGUAAUGGUCAUCAGCGACCCGUCUUGAAACACGGACCAAGGAGUCGUCUUCGUAUGCGAGUGUUCGGGUGUCAAGCCCCUACGCGGAAUGAAAGUGAACGCAGGUGAGAGCCUCGGCGCAUCAUCGACCGAUCCUGAUGUUCUCGGAUGGAUUUGAGUAAGAGCAUACGGGGCCGGACCCGAAAGAAGGUGAACUAUGCCUGUGUAGGGUGAAGCCAGAGGAAACUCUGGUGGAGGCUCGCAGCGGUUCUGACGUGCAAAUCGAUCGUCAAACAUGGGCAUGGGGGCGAAAGACUAAUCGAACCUUCUAGUAGCUGGUUUCCGCCGAAG
This 900-nucleotide ribosomal RNA is filed under the name Tolypocladium japonicum. Its description in RNAcentral is "partial large subunit ribosomal RNA". It matches the Rfam family "Eukaryotic large subunit ribosomal RNA", at positions 35 to 966 of the family's 3401-position model. Lineage: Eukaryota; Fungi; Ascomycota; Sordariomycetes; Hypocreales; Ophiocordycipitaceae. The record is from RNAcentral.